UAGCAAUGGGAUAUUUUUCCGGGCUCUGGCUAAAGAGCCGGUGGUUAUUUUUAGCUCAGCUGCAGAUCAAUAGGAAGCUGUGUUUUCGGCUGCCGGGGAAGAUGAUGUUUGGGGAGGGGAAUGAGGGCUGGAUUUCUCGUCAAAGGGAAACAAAAAAACCCCUCAGGUCACAGAAACAUCUCUGCUAUGAACCCUGCUGGUGCUAAACCCACUGAGCCUGUCAGAUUCAAGAGCCAUGCUGCUUCACCAUUCUUGGGGUCUCUGUCGCCAGAAUAAAAUGAGAAAACCUUUAGCUUCAAAGCGAAA
Ornithorhynchus anatinus (platypus) is the source of this 306-nucleotide long non-coding RNA. RefSeq lists it as uncharacterized. The record is from RefSeq and is a predicted model, not a curated record. The transcript has 2 exons. Lineage: Eukaryota; Metazoa; Chordata; Mammalia; Monotremata; Ornithorhynchidae.